AUGAACGCUGGCGGCGUGCCUAAUACAUGCAAGUCGAGCGAACAGACGAGGAGCUUGCUCCUCUGACGAUAGCGGCGGACGGGUGAGUAACACGUGGAUAACCUACCUAUAAGACUGGGAUAACUUCGGGAAACCGGAGCUAAUACAGGAUAAUAUAUUGAACAGCAUGGUUCAAUAGUGAAAGACGGUUUUGCUGUCACUUAUAGAUGGAUCCGCGCCGCAUUAGCUAGUUGGUAAGGUAACGGCUUACCAAGGCAACGAUGCGUAGCCGACCUGAGAGGGUGAUCGGCCACACUAGAACUGAGACACGGUCCAGACUCCUACGGGAUGCAGCAAUAGGGAAGCUUCCGCAAUGGUCGGAAACCUGACGGAGCAACGCCGCGUAAGUGAUGAAGGUCUUCGGAUCGUAAAACUCUGUUAUUAGGGAAGAACAAAUGUGUAAGUAACUAUACACGUCUUGACGGUACCUUGUCAGAAAGCCACGGCUAACUACGUG
This 496-nucleotide ribosomal RNA is filed under the name uncultured bacterium. RNAcentral describes it as "partial 16S ribosomal RNA". It matches the Rfam family "Bacterial small subunit ribosomal RNA", at positions 29 to 507 of the family's 1533-position model. The record is from RNAcentral.